UCUUAGCCUUUGCUCAGCCUCUUUCAUCUCUUUUGGAUCUUUGUGAAGAUUUAAGUGCUUAGAGACGUGUCAUUAUUCACUCCUUUCUUUCUCUUUCUUUCUCUUUCUUUCUCUUUAGCCUUUUUUGAAUCCGAAGAAGAAUUGAGAUUUAGGUUCAGGCUUCUUCUUCUUCCCCACCUACAAUUUUUUUUUGAUUCUUAUCACUUUACUUUGGUGAAGCUACAAAUCGUUUUCAUUGUUAUCGCAUCCAUUGACUGACUCCUCAUUUGCGUGCACCAAACUUCUAGAUCUGGUUCCAAAGUUUCUCAACUUUAUCCUCUCACUAUUUAUCUUGCUGUAUCGAUUCUUAAAGUGAUUUUCUUUGUUGUUCCAGGCACAAAAAGAUCUGCAGAGAUUUAUAUGCUUCCUUCUCAAUGAGAAUACUUACUCUUUAUCCUUUACUAAUAAUUAUGAUUCAGAUACAAGUCGCCUUGGUCCAGUGGUAAAGGGAAGAUCAUGUCCUAGCAAAUAACGACUCAAGUAUUAGUCGCUAAAGAUAUUAUCGAUCAUCAUGAAUGGAGCUUCCAGCAAAUCCAUAGAGAAAACUCAAGUAUUAGUGCGUUUGUAUCAGCAAGAAGUUUUGUCGCUAGAGACUAUUUUACUUUUCUUUGGUAUACAUUUCUUUAUUUUACAUCUCUUUUGGUUUUUAUAUAUUUAAAUUUUAACUACUUUACUCUUCUAGACAAGAGAAUGGAGAGUUACGAGUUGGUAUCAGGUGAGCAUGACUGAGCAUGCAUCAUUUCUUAGGCGGUGACUCGAUCCAAAGGCUCCAAAGAGGCCGGGCAUAGUUCUUUCUGCAUCGGCCUUAUCUUCGUAAGUUUUGGUUUCUCCUUACGGUACUUGUCUUCAUCAAACGAGUAGGAUACACAACUCUUGCACUUUAAACUAUACUUUGUGAAGUACAAACUAUUCCCCAUCCCUAGAACAUCCAGUCUCGUCUCUAAGGGGUAAAUACUUGAAAGGGUCCUCAAGAUUAGUACAACUCAUCUCCUCACAAGUUUAUACACUAGUGGCUUCUCGUUGCUGCAUGUAUACAUGAGAAAGAGGCCAUUUAAAUUCUCUUUGACAUAUUAAAACAUUCAUCCUUAUGAAUAUAAGGCACCUAUGUUCAGUCCAUGCUUGAUGACUCACUGUGCAGGAAAUUAGAUCUAAUUCAGCUUAAAUACCUCUCAAUUUGAACCAUUAAUAAAAGUGACCAUAGGCAUAGACAAGAUUGCUAUGAAUAUUAGGGUCAAAUCCAUGAGGGUAAGAAAAAUAUGGAUUAAUCCACUCAGUUUCUCCAGGAUAGGAAAUGCUUAUACGAAGAUAUAUCUUGUAAAAUGUCUAAGGCGCUAUUAGCACAAAAGUAGCAGAUGUAGGUGCCGAAGAGAAAGCAAUGGCCUGGAAGUAACGGCUUUAUGCGAUGUCAAAGAUAUAGCGAAAGCACGAAUGUCAUUCAACAACUGUCUUUUUAGACCAUUGAUUUCUAUUUGGCCCUUGCAUCAAGUAUUGGUGCGGUACUAGCGUUAAAACCUUUUACAAGAUUUCUCGUUUGUAUAAGCAUUUGCUAUCCUGGAACAGUUGAGUUGAUUACUCAAGAUUUUUCUUGCUCUUGAAUUUGACAAGAAUGACCAUAGCAACCUUGUAUAUGCAAAUGGUCUCUUUUAUUGCUUUAGCUCGGGAAGUGUUUUAGUUGACAUUCAUCUAGGUUCCUGCAUAGUGACUCAUCAAGGAUGGAGUGAGUGUAGGUGCCCUUUAAUUUAUAAUGAUGAAUGGUUAAUAUGUUGAAGAGAAGUUUACUUGACUAAGUAAACUUGUGAGGAGAAACUGGAGAAAACAGAGGAAGAGAAAGAGAAAGGAUAGCUAUCCAUAUUAUGUCAUAAGUUUACUUGGAAGUUUACUUGACUAAGUAGAAUGGAUAGCUUUUUCUCAUUUAUACAUGUAGCAGUGAGAACCCACUGGUGUGUAAACUUUAAUUUUCUCCUUGAAUUGAGAGGGCAUGAAUAGUACUAGCUACUCUUGACGGGGUGACAAUCUUUGCAAGAAUGUAUUUCUCAGAGACGAGAUUAUAUAUUUUAUGGAUCAAGAACAUUGUGUAUUUCCCAAAGUGUGGCUUUAAGUGCAAGAUUCUUGCAUCCUACUCGUUCGAUGAAGGCAUGUAUCAUGUGAGUUCGCAAACGUUACAAAAAGAUGGCAGAAGUAGAAAGAAACAUGGCCUCUUAGGAGGCUUUCGAUUGAGACAUCUCCUAGUAACGUCUUUGAGUUGACGAAAUAAUCAUAAGCAAACUGAAUCUGAACUGGAGACAGAUCCUGAAGACGAUCACGGAUGAGCCGCAGAGAUUCAUAGAUGAUGGAGGAUGGGGGUUUUUGAAUCUGGACGGAAGUGAUUCAGAAUCUGGGGGCUCUGAGGAGUCAGACAAAGGAUAUGAACCAUCAGAUGUGGAGGUUGAGUCUGAGUCAGAGGAUGAGGCCUCAGAGAGUGAGUCACUGGUGGAGUCAGAGGAUGAAGAAGAGGAGGACUCAGAGCAAGAGUCAGAGGAAGAGAAAGGUAAGACUUGGGAUGAACUGGAGAGAGAAGCUAGUAAUGCAGACAGAGAGCAUGGAGCUGAGUCUGAUAGUGAGGAAGAGAGGAAGAGAAGGAAGAUGAAGGCGUUUUGGAAAUCGGCCCGGAACUAGCGGUGGAGGCGGCAGUAGCAGGAUGAAGAACAUGCCACCAUCAAAGCGCAACAAGCACAGGUGAAAAGGAUCAGACGUCUCGAAAUCUGCUUAUCAUUUGUUCUCAUGGAAUUUAAUUCUAUGCCCUAGGAAAAUAAUUGUUCUCAUUAGAGAUGAAACGAAACCAGAAUAUUUAGUUUAAUUCAUUUUAUUAUAAGAGAUCGCUUUAGAACAUUAUUGAUUCUAUGCCCUAGGAACAUUGUGGCUGCAUUCAACAAGAACGACAUCAUCAUCUCUCCCAUGGAUGAUGACCACAUUACAAUUUGAAUUUUUAUCCCGUACCAUGUCUAGAGACUAAACACAAUUCACUACCUCGUUCUCCUAUCUCCAUGCUGAUGACUAGGCCUGGACAAAAGAACUGUAUCUGAAAACUCAACCUCGGCCUGGACCGGACAAAAGAAACAGGUUUGGGUAGGAUAUGGUUAUAGCUAGCCUUUUUUUAUUGGGUUUUAUAUUCUCGAACCCGUAGGUUUGGGUUCGGAUCCAGGUAUUACCUGAUACUCCAUAUGUAAUACCCAUCAAAAUCCGAACAUAUAAUUAAAUAUACAAAGUAUAAAUGAUAUUUAAGCUUGAUAUAAUCUAAUUACCCAGAAUUAUUAUUCUAAGUCCAAAUGUAUCAAUUAUAAUAUUUUCAUAUUGUAUUUGUUAAAAUUUAGAGAAAUACAAAUUGAAAUUAACUAAAGAUAAAGAUAGGAAACAACAGGGGAAAAUAUGUGGUCUAGCAAAUUUACUAUUUUAUAGGAAUACUUAUGAACUACAUUUUCUUUUCUUUUCUUCUAUUUUUAGAAAAAAUAAUUAUUUAUAUACAACAAUUGAUGAUUGUGUCAUAAGCAUUCCAUCAAAAGAAAGGAGAAGAAACAUAAAGUAAAGCAAAAAUGGUUAAAAGUGUAAAUGUUGUUGGUUUCAUCACUCGUAUGAUGGUUUUUUUGUUGAUUUUAACAGGAAUAUGCGGACAAAAGGUGUGCAGCAGGUACCGAGCCCCUUACGCGCGUGGAACUUGUACAAAUUAUAAACAUGUCAAGUCCACAGAAUGCGAUAAAGCUUGCAAAAAUAUAAUGCAUUUUGAGGGCAGAUGUCAACAUUUUCAGGACAAAGGAGUAAAGAAACUAGGUUGCUACUGUUAUCCAAGUAAAUGCUAGUGACAAUUGCAAACUUCAAAUCCUAUGUGCAACCAUACUAUUUACUAUUACCAUCCAUCAAUAAUAUGUCAUAAUUUUAAUCUGUGGUAUAAAUACAAGAGUUUUAUUCGUUAAUAUUGU
This is a non-coding RNA of Camelina sativa (false flax), 3992 nucleotides long. The record is from RefSeq and is a predicted model, not a curated record. NCBI's taxonomy places the organism in Eukaryota, Viridiplantae, Streptophyta, Magnoliopsida, Brassicales, Brassicaceae.